RNAcentral lists this long non-coding RNA (479 nucleotides) under Homo sapiens (human). RNAcentral describes it as "LHRI_LNC1499.1". The record is from RNAcentral. Lineage: Eukaryota; Metazoa; Chordata; Mammalia; Primates; Hominidae.
CCAAAAGCGGGUCUGGUCUCUGCCCAGCCCCACUUUGGCUGGCGUGCUUAGGUGCCUCUCGGGAAGCUGGAGACCACCCUCCCCCAUUCCAGCAAACGCUCCAUUGAGGAACCUACUGCGUGCCAGGUCCUGGGGAGCUUAGCGUCUGAUGAAGGAUACAACAACAAAAGACUGGAAAUUCAGAAGCAUGAGGGGACCUCCCCCCUCGAGGGAGAACCAGAGAUGGCUUCACAGAGCAGACGUUUGAACUGGGCCUUGGAGGAUGGAUGAGUGGAAUUUGGCCCAGUGGAGAAAGUCAUAGCAGCAGGAGAUAAGAUUGUAAGGGUCAGGUGGUGGGGCUGGAUAAUGCGAAUCUUGACUGUCAGACACAGACACCUGCCAUCUAAUUAGUACGCGAGGGAUAAAUUUUGGACUCCGCAGGAUAAGGACAAGGCUACACAAUGGCUUAGAACAGUUAAUCGGGCAACAGUUGGAAAGGG